CAAAAAGGAAGAAAGAUCAGAAGAGAGCAAACCAACAUAUCCCCAGGCAACUAACGUUUACUUCGAGGGAGAACAAGCAGGAAAACCAUUAGAUUCUUCCAAGACAGAAAUCUUAAGAGACCAUGUAACCCAAGUGUCCAACAGGACCUUCCAUAAUGAUGGAAAUGGACUAUAUCUGCACUGUCCAAUAAACCAUCUAUAUGUGGCUCUGGAGCAUCCGGAAUGUACAAGCGAGGAACUUAAUUUUAUUUCAUUUUCACUAAAUUAAAUUUGAACGGCCAUAUGUGGCUAGCACCUGCCAUGUUGGACAGUGCAGACCUAAGAGCAUCAUUUUACUGUCAGAAAACAUGACUAAGAGAAAGCAAAAGUUACACAAGAAAGAAGGAAGACAGUCCGUCGCCUGACACUUAGCUUAGUGUUAGUUUUAUUACUCAUAUAUUGUCAUAACAUUUACUUAAUGAGAAGUAAAGUUAAAUAUGUGAUUCUAGGGAAUGUUUUUGCUCAUUAAUGAUACUGUAAAUUGGUUAAUAACUAAUUAUAUAACAAACAUUCUCUAAUUUCUCUUAAAUUUAAGCUAUAAAAUACUGUUUUUUUAAUACUGUUUUACAUUAAGUACAUCUCUAACAAAAACUUUAAACUGCAUGAAAUCACUCGUACUGUUAAUUUUUUUUUUAAUAUCUUAAGUGAAAACAGAUCAGAAGAUUCUUAAGUACAGAGACUUUGCUUAUACAUUUUUAAAAUGUUCUUCCCACCCACCCUCAAAAAAAGUACUGAACACAAGGUUAGGUAAGUUUCAAACUGCAGUUGUGUACACCUGGGAUGGAGCCCAGGAAUCUGCAUUUAUUUUUUUCACUUCAAAUAUACUUCUGCUUUAUUGUCUUUCUCCUCUCCUCAAGGAACUCUAAUUAUCCAUAAGUUAAACCUUUUUCAGGCUAUCCCCUCAGUAUUCCCCAAAAUUUAAUCUAUUUUCUAUCUUUAAAAAUAUAUUUUCUUCAAAUUAUCUUCUGAUUCAUUAAUCCUCUCUUCUGCUGCAUUCAACCUGAUGUCAUACUCAUUACUGAAUUCUCAAUUUCAUGGAUUUUAAAAAGUGUGCUUGCUUCUAGAGUUUCCAUUUUAUUCUGUUAAAAUUAUCUUGAACAUAGUCAGCAGGGGCUUUCCUAGUGGCUUCCCUGGUGACCCAGAUGGUACAGAAUCUGCCUGCAAUGCAGGAGAUUGUUUGAUCCCUGGGUUGGGAAGAUCCCCUGGAGAAGUGAAUGGCAACCUACUGCAGUAUUCUUGCCUGGGAAAUUCCAUGGACAGAGGAAGUUGGCAGGCUACAGUCCAUGGGGUCACAAAGAGUUGGACACGAGUGAGCUACUUAUACUAGUCAGCAGAAUUACUUUAAAAUCUGUAUCUGGUACCUCUGUUUUCUGGAUCUGCUGUGGGUCUAUUCCAUUAUUUACUGUUUCUCUUAAAUUUUGGUCAUAUUCUCUUACAUACUUGUGUGCUUUUUUUAAUUAGUUAUUUACUUGAGUGCCAGAUAUUGUAUAUAAAAAAUUUUAGAAUUAAAUUUAUUGAUAGGUCUACACGGUCUUCCCAAAGAGAGAUUUGAUAUCUCUUUUGGCAAGUAGUUAAGGGAUUUAACAAUCUGGGGUCACUUUAAUGCAAUUUUAGAAACUGAAAUUAUUUCAAACUAGGUUUCAGUCUGCAGGAUCUGCUUCAUUUCUGGUUCACUGCUGAAGCUGUGGUACUAUAAAAAAGAAGAAAAGAAGAGAAGAAAGAGAACUAACACUGAAUGGAAAGGGUCUCAGCUCAAAGCAGGAGGAGUCCACCAUUCCUUACUUUUCUUAAUAGGCCCUGCUCUCCAACGUUUUGGGAAACCACAGGAGCCUAAAUUGAAUACACUAUCAUCCAGAGAAGAGUUAAACGUGUCGAGACUCAGGUAGCACUACUGACUUGAGAACACUCUAGCCCACUGCAAGACCCACAGCUUCAUCGGGAGUUUUCCUAUCAGCCACUCAACUGUGCUACAUCCCUAAGGCUCAGUCUCCUUAUCUCAGCUUUGGCAUUACAACUCGUGUCACCCUGCCUUUUCCAGAGAUGCGCAUUCAUUCCUCUGAUUUUACAUCAUAGUGCCUGUGAUUACCCACCAGUAAAAGACGUGUCACUUUUCUCAAUUAAAAAGAAAGAAGGGGGUGGGGAGAAGAAGAGGAAGAAAAAGAACAAGGAAGAAAAAUAAAGGAGGAGGAACGAGAAGUGUGGAGGAAGAGGUGGAGGAAGAAGAUGGAAAUCAAUUAGUCCAAAUAGGUCAUCACUGAAUGACACAACCAGUAUCCAGAAAAACGUCUACUUCUGUUUUAUUGACUACGUCAAAGCCUUUGACUGUAUGGAUCAAAACAAACUUAAAAUUCUUAAAUUUUAAGAAAGUUCCUAAAGAGAUGGGAAUACCAGACCACCUUAUCUGCCUCCUGAGAAACCUGUAUGCAGGUCAAGAAGUAACAGUUAGAACUGGACAUGGAACAACGGACUGGUUCCGAAUUGGGGAAGGAGUACAUCAAGGCUGUAUAUUGUCACCCUGCUUAUGCAACUUCCAUGCAGAGUACAUCAUGUGAAAUGCCGGGCUGGAUGAAGCGCAAGCUGGAAUCAAGAUUGCUGGAAGAAAUAUCAAUAACCUCAGAUAUGCAGAUGACACCACCCUUAUGGCAGAAAGUGAAGGACUAAAGAGCCUCUUGAUGAAAGUGAAAGAGGAGAGCGAAAAAGUUGGCUUAAAGCUCAACAUUCAGAAAACUAAGAUCAUGGCAUCCAGGCCCAUCACUUCAUGGCAAAUAGAUGGGGAAACAAUGGAAACAGUGACAGACUUUAUUUUGGGGGGCUCCAAAAUCACUGCAGAUGGUGACUGCAGCCUUGAAAUUAAAAGACUCUUGCUCCUUGAAAGAAAAGGUACAAUAAACCUGGACAGCAUAUUAAAAAGCAGAGAUAUUACUUUACCAACAAAGGUCCAUCUAGUCAAAGCUAUGGUUUUUCCAGUAGUCAUGUAUGGAUGUGACAAUUAGACUGUAAAGAAAGCUGAGCACUGAAGAAUUGAUGCUUUUGAACUGUAGUGUUAGGAAAAGACUCUUGAGAGUCCCUUGGACUGCAAGGAGGUCAAACCAAUCCAUUCUAAAGGAAAUUAGUCCUGAACACUUUUUGGAAGGAUGGAUGCUGAAGCUGAAGCUCCAAUACUUUGGCCACCUGAUGCGAAGAACUGACCUAUUGGAAAAGACCCUGAUGCUGGGAAAGAUUGAAGGCGGGAGGAGAAGGGGACAACAGAGGAUGAGAUGGUUGGAUGGCAUCACCGACUCGAUGGACAUGAGUUUGAGCAAGCUCCAGGAGUUGGUGGAUGGACAGGGAAGCCUGAAGUGCUACGGUUCAUGGGGUUGCAAAGAGUCGGACAUGACUAAGCAACUGAACUGCACUGAACUGAAACACAACCAGUGGAAUCCUACCAUGUUUGUCCUUUCAUGUCUGCCUUAUUCUCCUUUGCAUAAUAUCUUUAAGGUUCACCAUGUUUUAGCAUAUGUCAGAAACUUUCUUAUUUUUAAGGCUAAAUAAUAUUCCAUUGUAUGUAUAUACAAUGUUUUGUUUAUUCAUUCAUCCAUCAGUGGACACUUGGGUUGCUUUUAGCUCUUGGCUAUUGUGAAUAAUGCUGCUAUGGACGUGGGUAUAUACAAAUAUCUGUUCAAGUUUUGCUUUCACUUCUUUUGAGUAUAUACCCAGACAUGGAAUUGCUGGGUCAUUUGAUUGUUUAAUUUUUUCAGGAAUCAUCAUACCAUUUUCAAAGCAGUUGCAUCAUUUUACAUUCUCAAGAGCAACACACAAGUGUUUUAAUUUUCCACAUCCCUUACUAACACUUGCUUUUUUUUGAUUUUUGGUUUUAAUAAUGGUCCUGCUAAUGGGUAUGAAGUGGUAUCUCACUGUAGUUUUGAUUUGAUUCCCAUUAAUGACUAGCAUCUUUUUAUCUGCUUUCUGGGCAUUUGUAUAUAUUCUUUAGAGAAAUGUCUAUUCAAGUCUCUUGCUCAUUUUCUCAUUUUUGAAUUGGUCUGUUAUGGCUGUUGUUCAAAUGGUGUGUUCUUAAACUAACAGUUCCAUACUGACCUUCUGAUACCCUAAUAUUUACCUUUGCUAACUGUGGCAAAGGUAGCACUCCUCUAGCAGGCUUGUUCAAAUUUUGUUCUAGAAGUCAUUCCUGGACUUCCCUGGUGGUCCAGUGGCUAAGACUCUACGCUCCCAAUGUAGCGGUCCAGGUUCGAUCCCAGGUCAGGGAACUAGAUCCCACAAGCAACAACUAAAGAGCUUGCAUGCCACAACUAAAAGAUCCUACAUUUCGCAAUUACGAUCUGGCACAGACAAAAUGAAAAACAAAACAAAACAACAGAAGUCAUUCUUAGCAGCCCAGUCCACAGGCUAGAGUAGUUUGUCUCUUGUAACUGAACCCUGACUGAAUAUAACCAUUUUACCCCUUCAGUCUUUCAAGCUGUCAUCUUUCAAAGGAAGGAAAGUACCCAAAGUUAAAGGCUUCAAACUAACUCAUAAGUUCCACAAUCUAGUAAAAUUCUAGGUAAGGCAAACAACUUUAUGCUGUUUCCUUGAAUUUCCUGGUAAAUUAAUUAAGAAGGAUAUGGUUUUAUCUGUUCUUCUUAUUAAAUUUAUAUACCAUUAUCUUUGGGAUGAAUGACAUGUUUUAUUACAAUAGGCUAUUCAAUGAUCUUUUCCUCAACCAAGAACACUGUG
Dama dama (fallow deer) is the source of this 4749-nucleotide long non-coding RNA. RefSeq lists it as uncharacterized. The transcript is spliced from 3 exons. The record is from RefSeq and is a predicted model, not a curated record. Lineage: Eukaryota; Metazoa; Chordata; Mammalia; Artiodactyla; Cervidae.